Molecule: ribosomal RNA, 170 nt
Filed under: uncultured Banisveld landfill bacterium BVB93
Lineage: Bacteria
Description: partial 16S ribosomal RNA
Rfam family: Bacterial small subunit ribosomal RNA
Source: RNAcentral
CCUACGGGAGGCAGCAGUAAGGAAUAUUGGUUCAAUGGACGCAAGUCUGAACCAGCCAUGCCGCGUGAAGGAUGACAGCCCUACGGGUUGUAAACUUCUUUUAUCGGGGAAUAAAGUGCGCCACGCGUGGCGUUUUGUAAGUACCCGAGGAAUAAGGAUCGGCUAAAUCC